GACGAACGCUGGCGGCGUGCCUAAUACAUGCAAGUUGAGCGCUUAAGGUUGGUACUUGUGCCAACUGGAUGGGCAGCGAACGGGUGAGUAAGGCGUGGGGAAGCUUCCUUUGAGCGGGGGACAACAUUUGGAAACGAAUGCUAAUACUGCAUAAAAACUUUAAACACAAGUUUUAAGUUUGAAAGAUGCAAUUGCAUCACUCAAAGAUGAUCCCGCGUUGUAUUAGCUAGUUGGUGAGGUAAAGGCUCAGCAAGGCGAUGAUACAUAGCCGACCUGAGAGGGUGAUCCGCCACAUUGGGACUUAGACCCCGCCCCAACUCCUACGGGAGGCAGCAGUAGGGAAUCUUCGGCCAUGGACGAAAGUCUGAACCAGCAAAGCCGCGUGAGUGAAGAAGGUUUUCAGAUCGUAAAACUCUGUUUGUAGAGAAGAACGUUCGUGAGAGUGGAAAGCUCAUCAAGUGACGGUACCUACCCAGAAAGCAACGGCUAACUACGUG
RNAcentral lists this ribosomal RNA (497 nucleotides) under uncultured bacterium. RNAcentral's name for it is "partial 16S ribosomal RNA". It matches the Rfam family "Bacterial small subunit ribosomal RNA", at positions 28 to 507 of the family's 1533-position model. The record is from RNAcentral.